Molecule: long non-coding RNA, 521 nt
Organism: Bombus terrestris (buff-tailed bumblebee)
Lineage: Eukaryota; Metazoa; Arthropoda; Insecta; Hymenoptera; Apidae
Exons: 2
Source: RefSeq, a predicted model, not a curated record
AGCAGAAAUUUCACGGAUAGUAAGCAGACCUCGAUCUAUUAUACAGAGCAUAAUUGAUAGGCAUGGUCUACGAAAAAGACUGGAAAAUAACUCGGGAAGUGGAAAAAUGAAUCAGUAUACUGGCCGAAUUAUUAUUAGAAUGAUAAGAUAAAAUGGAAAAUGAGAAAAAAAUGGAUAUGAAAGAUAAUUUCAUUUUCAUGUAUGAUGACGAUGCAUACCAUACCAUACCAUAUCAGAAUGUGGAUACCGGCAUAUUUAAAAUCUCUUGAUAUCAACUCCAUAAAAAAUGGAAAUUUCCUCACAAGAAAGUUAAGGGAUGCUCUUUUGGAGAAGUGGAACCAGAUCCAGCCACGCAUAACAUCGAAUUUUGCUAAUUUAAUAUCUAAAAGAAUUGCGGAUACUCUAGGAAAUAUUAAUUGUCUGUUUACAUUGACUUUUCAUUAUUAAAUUCACUUAAAUUGCAUUUCUUUAUAAAUAGUUAAAAAUUUAAGAAUUGUACGAAUAAAUAUUGCGUACAUAUU